This 294-nucleotide small nuclear RNA is filed under the name Heterocephalus glaber (naked mole-rat). Its description in RNAcentral is "7SK RNA". It matches the Rfam family "7SK RNA". Rfam says of the family: 7SK was discovered as an abundant small nuclear RNA in the mid-70s but a possible function has only recently been suggested. Two independent studies have found that 7SK RNA binds the CDK9/cyclin T complex (known as elongation factor P-TEFb). P-TEFb activates transcription by phosphorylating the C-terminal domain of RNA polymerase II. The record is from Rfam by way of RNAcentral. Lineage: Eukaryota; Metazoa; Chordata; Mammalia; Rodentia; Bathyergidae.
AGAGGUGAGAGUGACAUCUGGCUGUGACAUGUUACCCCACUGAGCACCAGGAUUGAUUUGGCUGGCUAGGCAGGUGCCCCCUUCCUCCCUCACCACUCCAUGUGUGUCCCUCCUGAGGCCGCAUGCUCAGUUGAAGAGGACAACUCUUCCCGAUAGUCGAGGACUGUUUCCUCAGUCAAGGGUAUGUAAGUAGCUGCACUCCCCUGCUAGAACCUCCUAACAAGCUCUCAAACCACUAUCCUUUUUAUAUGUGGGACACCACCCAUACUGCACUCCUAACCUUCGCUUGACUAA